UUUUCUUUUUUUUUUUUUUUUCCCUUUUCCAUUGUCCCUCAGUGGUGAUAACUUUCCUAUUACCCUAAUUUUGAGAGACAAGACAACAAACCGUUUUGAGAAGCUAAUGCUUUUAGUACAAGUUCAGUAGAGUUUAAACUUGAAAAUUCUCUGUCAGGAUGAUAGUAGGAUUGAUAUUUCUUUGUUUGUGUUUCGUUAUUGGAUACUUAAUAUUGAAAGGUAAUCAAAUUUUUUGUCAGUGGAUACUUGAUUUGGAAAAGUGAUCACAUUUUUAGGUUCUCUCUUGGCCUUUUGCAGAUAAUCACAAAGGAAUCCCUUUUGGCUGCACAGGUAAAAUAAAAGGCCUUUCAAGCUUUUCAAAUUUCCUUCUUGCAUAUGUGUCUUUCUACUCCAAUAAUUGAUGUUUUGUCUUUGGAUUUUGUGUGUGUAGAGGGAAGAUUUGCGCAGAGUAAUGGAAAUGCUAUCACUAAGGGAACACCAUGCGAGGACCUUGUUGAUACAUUACCGUUGGGAUGUUGAAAGGUUGUUUGCUGCGUUUGUAGAGAAGGGGAAAUCAUACUUGUUCACUGAAGCAGGUGUUACUGUGGUUGAGCAACUAGACGUUGAUUCACCACUGACUUCAUCUUCUACAGUAACGUGUGAUAUAUGCAUAGAGGAUGUAUCUGGCAAUAAGGCGACAAGAAUGGAUUGUGGCCAUUGCUUUUGCAAUGAUUGUUGGACUGAGCACUUCAUUGUGAAAAUAAAUGAGGGUCAGAGUAGACGCAUCCGGUGCAUGGCGCACAAAUGUAAUGCUAUCUGUGAUGAAGCUGUUGUCAGAAAUUUAGUUAGUAAAAAACAUCCUGAUUUGGCAGAGAAAUUUGAUCGUUUUCUUCUUGAAUCAUACAUUGAGGAUAACAAAAUGGUUAAAUGGUGCCCAAGCAUUCCCCAUUGUGGGAAUGCUAUACGAAUUGAAGAAGAUGAAUGCUGUGAGGUAGAAUGUUCAUGCGGUUUACAGUUUUGUUUCAGUUGCUUGUCAGAAGCACACUCGCCUUGUUCAUGUUUGAUGUGGGAGCUUUGGAGCAAGAAAUGUCAAGAUGAAUCUGAAACAGUUAAUUGGAUCACAGUUCAUACAAAGCCUUGUCCUAAGUGUCACAAACCAGUUGAGAAGAAUGGUGGCUGCAACCUUGUGAGCUGUAUAUGUGGUCAAUCGUUUUGUUGGCUAUGUGGUGGAUCGACUGGGAGAGAUCAUACAUGGUCUAGAAUAUCUGGUCACAGUUGUGGUCGCUAUAAAGAAGACCGAGAGAGAAAAACGGAACGCGCAAAACAGGAUCUCUAUCGAUAUAUGCACUAUCAUAACCGCUAUAAGGCUCACACAGAUUCCUUUAAGCUUGAAAGUAAACUUAAGGAGACAAUCCUGGAGAAAGUAUCAAUAUCUGAAGAGAGGGAAUCAAGACUAAGAGAUUUCAGCUGGGUAAAUAAUGGACUCUACAGACUUUUCAGAUCAAGAAGGGUUCUUUCAUAUUCAUACCCGUUUGCAUUUUAUAUGUUUGGUGAAGAGCUGUUUAAGGAUGAGAUGACAACAGAGGAAAGGGAAAUUAAACAGAAUUUAUUUGAGGAUCAGCAACAGCAGCUUGAGUCAAAUGUUGAAAAACUCUCCAAGUUCCUGGAGGAGCCUUUUGAGCAGUAUACUGAUGAAAAAGUUAUGGAAAUAAGGAUGCAAGUCAUCAAUCUAUCUACAAUUACUGAUAAUCUUUGUAAGAAAAUGUAUGAGUGCAUAGAAAGUGAUUUAUUGGGUGCUCUUCAACUAGGUACCCAUAACAUAGCUCCCUACAAGUCAAAGGGCAUUGAGAAGGCGUCAGAACUUUCGUCUUGUUGGAGCAACAAAGUCAAUACUGCUGACAAAUGCCUGCCAUCAGAUGGCAAUACUAGUGGUAAUUUGAAUUCAGUCAAUGGUGUUUGAUUUAGAAGAGAAAUUUUGAUGUUUGGCACACGCACACACAUAUAUACCUGAUCCAUCUUGCCCCGACUUGUAUCAAAAUAAGAUCAGGCAAGUGUAGAAGUGCCAAAAUCUGCCCUAUACCUGAUGCAUUUGCCAUCAUCUCUGUCAUGUAUGAUUUUGAUACUCGUAUUUCUCAGCAUUGUUAUUCUACCUUCCCCUGGUUCUUAAGUUGUAUCUUUAAUUGCAUGGCAUUUAUAUGAUGUGUGAUGGGCCCUUUCUUGUCAUGUAAAAUUUAGUAAACUAUUUAUGCAUUUGCAUUAGAGUUUCAGUAAACUAUUUCUUGUUAUGUAUGAUUUUGUCAUGCUUUCGCACUGCUGACAGGUUUUUGUUUGGUGUUACAUGCAUCGAUUGGAUUCAUUAUUGAGCUUAGUUAACAAGUUAGAUUUUUUAUUGAUCACAUUUUGUGGAAGCUAAACAGCCAUCUGAUGCAUUUGCAGGAACACUAUUUUAAUUUUGAAAUUGCAUCAAAUUGGACAUCUUAUGGAAGUGUCUCUUGGGUGGCCCACAGAUUGGCCUAACAAGCCCAAUUAAUUCUGUUAUGUAAUUUCUGUGUUAAGGCAUAUGUGUCUUUGUAAGAUGUUGAAAUGAAAUUACUAUCUAUGUUUUGGAAAAAAAAAUUGCUGCAAAUUAGUUUUAUGUCUAUAAUUUGGGAAAAGGGAGAAAUUUAAAGCAUCUCUCUGAAGUCAACCAUAUCAUUUAUACCUCGCACACAGAUGAGAUUUUGUAAUGUUAUUGUUGUAUUUGGUUCAUGAGCUCCAUGCUCAUUCAGUUUCAAUAGAUUAGAUGGUUCCCUGAAGUAUUUUAUUUUCAUUUUUUCAAAUUUAGGAAGAUUGAGUAUAUUUUGAUUAUCAAUACUAACACACUACAUUUUAGGUGGCGCAUCACAACAUGAUAAACCUUCAGGCUCUAGGAGUUCAGCUGAUAGUGGAUGCUCUUCUUGGAAGCGUGCUAGGAGGGAUGGAGGUGGCUUUUUAGAUCUGAACUUGCCGGCAGAGAUCAUGGAUAGGAACUGAAAUCAGAGAAUGAAGACUUCAUGUAAGUACAAAGUGUACAGCUCUAACUCAAGGCCAUGUUCUUCUUCAUGGAAUUGAUCAUUUGUGGAUUAAGCACCAAGUGCUUCUACCCUUUACCCUUAAUAGCCUUUUGUUCUGCGUUCGACAUUGCUUUCUCUCAGUGGGAUGUCGUGGAAUAGAAUUUUGUUUCUACUUUUCACCCAGCCUUUUUUUUUAUGUUGUACAUAGCUGUUUAUUGGGUUUUUGUGAGGAUAGAUGUGUAAAUUCUCUAGCUGGGGGGCUUGAGCUAGACUUUGAUGCAUCAUUGACAUAAUUUUGCAGAAUGUGAUUAUCUUAUUGAAGUAAUUAUGCAGAACUUGAUCGUCUUAUCGAUUUAUGCUUAAUUUCAUAGUUGUCAUAAUAUUCUUCCUUUGAAGUGUUCUGCCUCUGCCUCUGCCUCUCUACCCCUGGCCGCUGUUCCAGGCUAAUGGUCCUGUUCUGUUCUGUUGGAAUCUGGUUGAAUCAGCCAAUGUAUAUUUUUUUAAAUUUGUAUAUUUUGGACCAAAAUUAAUAUGUAUUUAUUUUUUUAUAAAGGAAUAUAAAAAAUGACAUGGAUGUGUAAAUAUUGG
Molecule: unclassified non-coding RNA, 3599 nt
Filed under: Hevea brasiliensis (rubber tree)
Lineage: Eukaryota; Viridiplantae; Streptophyta; Magnoliopsida; Malpighiales; Euphorbiaceae
Source: RNAcentral